RNAcentral lists this small RNA (1622 nucleotides) under Rattus norvegicus (Norway rat). RNAcentral's name for it is "uncharacterized LOC102548186". Lineage: Eukaryota; Metazoa; Chordata; Mammalia; Rodentia; Muridae. The record is from RNAcentral.
CGCUGUGAAGAAGUUAUUCUCUUGAUUCUUUUCCUAAGCAAGAUUUUUCUGUCACCUCCCUAGCGAAAAGAUUGUGAUCUGAACAAAGACACUAGCUACCUCCAAGGGGACAGGUUCUUUUAGGGGUUCUCAGGCCCUGAGAAUACACAGACAUAUACGUCUACAAAUUAGCCCACAGUAGCGUAGCUCAUCUUCCAACGUCUCGGUUUCCUUGAGUGUCUAUGAUCCUAGAGUAACGUUUGCUUCAUGGCGUUCUGAAAAUAAUCGAAGGAAAGCGAUGCUAUAGCCUGAACUGCCAGUAAAGAAAAAGUGAGGGGCGGAUAGAAGCAGGCAAAUAGCUCUGCUCUUGGGGAUCAGCCCAAACUUCCACAGCGCCCUCACCCUCCCGACAGACGGGACGAAAAUGUCGGCAUUCUUUCUCAGAUCACAGUUCCAGUCCUUUAGAGCAAGCUGAGUAGUACAGAGGAGAAGGUGCAAUAAGGAAUGUCCUCCUGUGCUAAGAAUGCAUUCAGAACGGGGAUGCUCUGUCCGGAUGCCUUCAUGGAAGAGGUCACGAUUUUCCUCAUAGCCUGAUAAAGGGACACCGUGGAAACUAAACAACUUCUACCAACACCUAGACAAAUGACAGCCUGGGGACUCAGAUGCUCACAAUCUAACCAAGAUCCCUUCCUCCUAAAGGCCAAACAUUCUGCUCUACACAAAGCACUUGACUUCCGAUGAAUACAGUGUGUUUUCCUGAGAAGUUGGCAGAUGGCGAUGUAUAGAAAGUGCAGUGUCUGGCACACGCGGAGCUGCUGAUCCGUGCUACCCAUUGGCAUUGGAACAGCUGCAUUUUUGAGCAGAGACAUGAAAAGCAUGGGGGGAGAUCGUCACGCCGCCACCACAGAUGUCCCUGCCUUGGCCGAGGACAGAAGACAGCAGCCAAUAUUCACAGUGGACUGCAGAUGUUUCCCUUCACCAUGGAUCAGAGGGGCCAUUAUGGACAGCGUGGGCUCUGCAGGAGUUUUGUGUUCCAGACGGAAUAUUACAGAAUAUGCAUGGCUCCAUCCAACAUUUAUUGAAUACCUACUCUGUGCUGAGCUGCUUUCUAAAUACAAAGAUGAAUAGGUCACAUUCCUUGUCCCCUCAGACACUGAAUUACACACAAGGAGACAACACACAUAAUUAGCCGUAGCGUACUGAGGAGUUCUGUGUGUGGCAGAAACAGUGGUUGAUCUCAGGAGAGAUUUCUGUCAGAGGGCCUUGGAGGAAGAUGCAGACCGGGAGGGACAUCCAGAGUCUUCUAGGGACGGUAAAUAAUGAAAGGACUUCAAUGAAAUGAAGAGCAAAGGUCAUUUGAGGUGGUAGAGUGAGGUGCGCAGACCAGCAGGCUUCCUCGCCCCCCAACCCCCACCUCACCCAGUCACUGCCCACCCGUGACACCUUCUUUCAGUGUCUGAGUCAUACCCAGUAGAUUGCUAGGUGAGGACACCAGAAAGGCUUCGCCCACACAAAUAUGACAUGCUCCCUCAGAAUACAUGUUCCUCCAAUGUUUUUACCUGUCAAUGUCUUUCUUCUCUUCUGAGACUGUGGGCUGGAUUCUAAGAAGUGAAUCCGAAGGUCAUGAGGUGAUAAGAAGAAUA